CUUGGUGACCAUAGCGUUUUGGACCCACCUGAAUCCAUUCCGAACUCAGAAGUGAAACGAAAUAGCGUCGAUGGUAGUGUGGGGUUUCCCCAUGUGAGAGUAGAACAUCGCCAGGC
RNAcentral lists this ribosomal RNA (116 nucleotides) under Vibrio vulnificus. The record is from RNAcentral. Lineage: Bacteria; Pseudomonadati; Pseudomonadota; Gammaproteobacteria; Vibrionales; Vibrionaceae.